UACGAAGGGUGCAAGCGUUGCUCGGAAUUAUUGGGCGUAAAGGGUAGGUAGGUGGUAAUACAAGUCUGGGGUGAAAUCCCUGAGCUCAACUCAGGACGUGCCUUGGAAACUGUAUUACUAGAGUACUAGAGAGGUUCGUGGAAUUCUUGGUGUAGCGGUGAAAUGCGUAGAGAUCAAGAGGAACAUCAGCGGCGAAGGCGGCGAACUGGAUAGUAACUGACACUCAACUACGAAAGCGUGGGGAGCAAACAGG
This 253-nucleotide ribosomal RNA is filed under the name uncultured bacterium. RNAcentral's name for it is "partial 16S ribosomal RNA". It matches the Rfam family "Bacterial small subunit ribosomal RNA", at positions 524 to 776 of the family's 1533-position model. The record is from RNAcentral.